UCGCUCUCUCUCUCUAUUUUAUUUAUUCCUCUCAGCGAUGGCGGCGGAGUUUGAGUCUUCUUCUACCUGCAACGGAAAAUGGUUUUUUACACGGGAACAGAUCGAAAAUAGUCCGUCUCGCCGAGCAGGGCUUGACCCCGACAAGGAGCUCUCGUACCGACAGCAAGCCGCCAACCUUCUGCAGGAUAUGGGACAGAGGCUCAAUGUCUCUCAGCUGACAAUUAACACUGCAAUUGUAUACAUGCACCGAUUUUACAUGAUCCAGUCCUUCACGAGAUUCCACAGGAAUGUUAUUGCGCCUGCAACUCUCUUUUUGGCUGCCAAAGUGGAAGAGCAGCCACGAAAAUUGGAGUAUGUUAUUAAGGUGAUGCAUGCCCUUGUGAACCCUCAGGACCCUUCACCAGAUGUCAGAAGUGAGGCUUACCUGCAACAAGCCCAAGACCUGGUCAUUCUUGAGAGCAUAAUACUACAGACCCUGGCCUUUGAAAUUACUAUUGAUCACCCACACACUCAUGUUGUGAAAUGUACGCAGCUUGUCCGAGCAAGCAAGGACCUUGCACAGACAUCAUAUUUUAUGGCCACAAACAGAGCUUACCCAUGAGUUCCUGCAGAUCCUUGAGAAGACCCCGAGCCGACUGAAGCGAAUACGAAACUAUAAGGCAGGAGCUGCACCAAAGAAAUCCAAGGUCCAGGAGGGAGGAGACCAGACGGAGACAAUGAUGUCUAUGAUUUCUAUGGCAUCUUC
This is an RNA transcript of Polypterus senegalus (gray bichir), 745 nucleotides long. It is a transcript of the gene named cyclin-T1-like, with no coding region annotated. The transcript has 8 exons. The record is from RefSeq and is a predicted model, not a curated record. NCBI's taxonomy places the organism in Eukaryota, Metazoa, Chordata, Cladistia, Polypteriformes, Polypteridae.